RNAcentral lists this ribosomal RNA (495 nucleotides) under uncultured bacterium. RNAcentral's name for it is "partial 16S ribosomal RNA". It matches the Rfam family "Bacterial small subunit ribosomal RNA", at positions 28 to 507 of the family's 1533-position model. The record is from RNAcentral.
GACGAACGCUGGCGGCGUGCCUAAUACAUGCAAGUAGAACGCUGAAGGAGGAGCUUGCUCUUCUGGAUGAGUUGCGAACGGGUGAGUAACGCGUAGGUAACCUGCCUGGUAGCGGGGGAUAACUAUUGGAAACGAUAGCUAAUACCGCAUAAGAGUAGAUGUUGCAUGACAUUUACUUAAAAGGUGCAAUUGCAUCACUACCAGAUGGACCUGCGUUGUAUUAGCUAGUUGGUGGGGUAACGGCUUACCAAGGCGACGAUACAUAGCCGACCUGAGAGGGUGGUCGGCCCACCUGGGACUGGGGCACGGCCCAGACUCCUUCGGGAGGCAGCAGUAGGGAAUCUUCGGCAAUGGACGGAAGUCUGACCGAGCAACUCCGCGUGAGUGAAGAAGGUUUUCGGAUCGUAAAGCUCUGUUGUAAGAGAAGAACGAGUGUGAGAGUGGAAAGUUCACACUGUGACGGUAUCUUACCAGAAAGGGACGGCUAACUACGUG